UCCACGCUGUAAACGAUGAUGACUAACCGUCGGCGAUAUACAGUCGGUGGCCAAGCGAAAGCGAUAAGUCAUCCACCUGGGGAGUACGACCGCAAGGUUGAAACUCAAAGGAAUUGACGGGGGCCCGCACAAGCGGAGGAACAUGUGGUUUAAUUCGAUGAUACGCGAGGAACCUUACCCGGGCUCGAACGGCAGAUGAAUUGAGUAGAGAUAUUCAAGUCUUCGGACAUCUGUCGAGGUGCUGCAUGGUUGUCGUCAGCUCGUGCUGUGAAGUGUCGGCUUAAGUGUCAUAACGAGCGCAACCCUUGCCAUUAGUUGCCAUCAGGUUAUGCUGGGGACUCUAGUGGGACUGCCACCGCAAGGUGUGAGGAAGGGGGGGAUGACGUCAAAUCAGCACGGCCCUUACGUCCGGGGCGACACACGUUUACAAUGGUGGGUACAGAGGGAUGCUACCUGGCGACAGGAUGCUGAUCUCGAAAACCCAUCCCAGUUCGGAUUGGAGUCUGCAACCCGACUCCAUGAAGUUGGAUUCGCUAGUAAUCGCGCAUCAG
Molecule: ribosomal RNA, 551 nt
Filed under: uncultured bacterium
Lineage: Bacteria
Description: bacterial SSU rRNA
Rfam family: Bacterial small subunit ribosomal RNA
Source: RNAcentral